UCAAAGGCUCUUUUCAGAGCCACUCAACUCUCACAUAAAGAGCUUU
Molecule: regulatory RNA element, 46 nt
Organism: Pan troglodytes (chimpanzee)
Lineage: Eukaryota; Metazoa; Chordata; Mammalia; Primates; Hominidae
Rfam family: Histone 3' UTR stem-loop
About the family: The mRNAs of metazoan histone genes lack a poly-A tail. 3' end processing occurs at a site between a highly conserved stem-loop (modelled by this family) and a purine rich region around 20 nts downstream (the histone downstream element, or HDE). The stem-loop is bound by a 31 kDa stem-loop binding protein (SLBP - also termed the histone hairpin binding protein, or HBP).
Source: Rfam